CAUGACAAUAGGAUUUAAAUCACUGCCUUUUUUGAAUUUAUCCAUUUAAAUGUCUUAAAAGUGAUCAGUCAUGAUUCAGAAAGAACAGUUAGGUUUCAGCAACGCAACAGCACCUCAUAGUGGAGAAAGAUGUACAAUACAUCCAUUGAUGAUACAUAAGUACAGCAACUAUCAUAUCGCUUCUGCCCAAAAUCAAUUGAAGGGACAAUUACCACCAAAGCACCAUAAUCAC
Non-coding RNA from Pelobates cultripes (western spadefoot toad), 232 nucleotides. NCBI's taxonomy places the organism in Eukaryota, Metazoa, Chordata, Amphibia, Anura, Pelobatidae. The record is from the annotation of a GenBank genome assembly.